This 1130-nucleotide long non-coding RNA is filed under the name Homo sapiens (human). Its description in RNAcentral is "uncharacterized LL0XNC01-250H12.3, transcript variant 7 (LL0XNC01-250H12.3)". The record is from RNAcentral. Lineage: Eukaryota; Metazoa; Chordata; Mammalia; Primates; Hominidae.
AUAACGGCGACCGUGAAGACUUUUAAAAUAGAGACCAACGUGGCCGGGCAGGAAGAGCAGGGUCCCGCCUUCAGGUGUUUGGGACUCAGCUGAGGGUGUGGGUGCCCCGCGGUGGGGGCUGAACCUUCCUGGGGUGUGGAGAGACGAAAGGAGCCCAGAUCCAAGUUCCCUCGUUCCCGCUUUGGCAUAAGUUGCCCUGGCGGUCUCAUGAGAGAGAGAAAGAGCUGGGACCCUCCUCGCCCCAGUGAGUGUGAUGUCUUGCUCCGGGUGUCCUGGGGCAACUUUCUAUACAGGCGGGACGUGGGAGGAUCAGACAGUGUAACAUCAGACAAGGGUGUUGACUCUGCAGCACAGAACCAGUAGUUUGUGGAGAAGAAUGGAGGUGUGGUGUUGAAUCUGCUAGACAGGCUACUGAAGCAAAAGUCAAGAGAUCCAGAUUCCAUCAUGGGGACACUUUAGUUCUUCAUCGGGUAAUUGAGCUGAUAUCAGGUGUCUGAAGGAGGCAAGUUUUGAAGAUGUGGGUCAUGAUGGCUGCUGAAGCUUCCACUCCAUAUUUGAAGGUCAGCAGUUCUCAGGAAACCUCUAGCACUUCCAUCCCUGGUGGGAUGUGAUGCCUGUCUCAGUGUAACAUCAGAGAAGGGGUGUACUCUGUGCCCUAGAACUAGGAGCUAACAGAGAAAAACCAAAUGUGAUGUGGAGUCUGCUAGACAGGCUACUGGAGCAAGAGUGAAGCGAUGAAAGUCUCAUCAUUGGGACAUAUUAGGGAGGCAGCAGGUGGCUGAAAUCCUGGUGUGAUGUGGCUGGAUCAUGCAUGAUCUGAGGACUCCUGCACAGGGCACAAUUAUUUUAUCUUGGAACCAACAAUCUUCGGAGAAUGUAUCCCAAAGAUACAAUUCAAAAAGAUAAAAAGGCAGAAGCACAAGGUCAUUCUUGGCAGAACAAAUUGUAACAGCAGAAGACUGGAAAUAAGACAGAUGUCCACCAAUAAAGGACUGACUGAAUAAUCUAAGGUGCAUCUACAUCCUAGAUUUCAAUGCCGGUAUAACAAGCAAGGAAGAUUCCCUCUCUCUGCUGCUAUGUAGUGAUUUCCAGGAUAUACCAUUAAGUGAAUAAAGCAAAGUGCAGAAAAA